CAGUAGCCACGGGAAUACGGAGGGUGCAAGCGUUAAUCGGAAUUACUGGGCGUAAAGCGUGCGUAGGCGGCUUCUUAAGUCGGAUGUGAAAUCCCUGAGCUUAACUUAGGAAUUGCAUUCGAUACUGGGAAGCUAGAGUAUGGGAGAGGAUGGUAGAAUUCCAGGUGUAGCGGUGAAAUGCGUAGAGAUCUGGAGGAAUACCGAUGGCGAAGGCAGCCAUCUGGCCUAAUACUGACGCUGAGGUACGAAAGCAUGGGGAGCAAACAGGAUUAGAUACCCCUGUAGUCCCUGUCUCUUAUAC
Molecule: ribosomal RNA, 301 nt
Filed under: uncultured bacterium
Lineage: Bacteria
Description: partial 16S ribosomal RNA
Rfam family: Bacterial small subunit ribosomal RNA
Source: RNAcentral